Anolis carolinensis (green anole) is the source of this 490-nucleotide long non-coding RNA. RefSeq lists it as uncharacterized. The record is from RefSeq and is a predicted model, not a curated record. The transcript has 2 exons. NCBI's taxonomy places the organism in Eukaryota, Metazoa, Chordata, Lepidosauria, Squamata, Anolidae.
CAUCUUAGACAGCCAUGGAACACCAACAAUGAGGAGCUUGGAGGAAAGGGCAGUGUUUGUUUGCUGCAGGCUGCCUUUGACCUCAGCUCCUGGUGAAUGGCUCCUUGCAGACUCUGGCCCUGACUGCCUGGCUGAAGCAAGGCCCAGCCGAAACACCUGCUGCCUCCUGAGGCUGGGGCAUAAAAGGAGGAUGCUGGCAAGGGCCCAGUGCAUCCAAGAGAGUCAAAGAAGACAUUAAGACCAUGAAGGGGGAGGGGAAGGUGUACUCAGAUGCUGUUUUUAUAUUUCUAUGUUUUAAUAUCUUAAUGUUAAUGGUUUUAAAUUAUAUUUAUAUUUUAUUUGUUUCUAUUGAUUUUUUGUUAUGUUUUAUUUGCAUUGUAUAAUGUGGCAUUGCAUUUUUGUCUAAAUAUAUGUUGUACGCCGCUCUGAGUCCCCUGCAGGGUGAGAAGAGCGGGAUAGAAGUGAAGUAAAUAAAUAAAUAAAUAAAUAA